RNAcentral lists this long non-coding RNA (573 nucleotides) under Lathyrus oleraceus (garden pea). RNAcentral's name for it is "Pisum sativum (pea) long non-coding RNA (PSAT_LNC034993)". The record is from RNAcentral. Lineage: Eukaryota; Viridiplantae; Streptophyta; Magnoliopsida; Fabales; Fabaceae.
UAAUUGGAAGUGACUGUACUUAACUGGCACCAACCAAAAGAAUUACAUAGCUGAAGAAUGAACCAGAACUAGUUUCUUAUUUUGAAUGUCCUACUGGAUUUAUGCAGUGUAAACCAAAGUGAUAAUUUGAUGCUUGUAUUUGAUGACUUGCAGGAUAUUAGCCAUGACUGCUGGACCACUAAACUCAAGUUGCAGUGCAAGCAAAUAUCUUAUGUAAGUAAGGCAAGGUUAAUGCUUGUGGUUGCAAGUGAUUACUGCUGAUGAUGACCUAGUAUGCCAAUGCCUUCCAUUCUGGUUUAUGUGUUUCUCAAUGCUAUACUUACUCUACUAUCCACUCUGCUGUUAUUUGCAGGUCUAGCAUUUGCUUUGCACUUUGGUGUCAUGGCGUAACCUUCAUUGUGGACAACCCUCCAUUUUGAACUCAAUAUGUUGGCAAAUCCCGAUGUUGGUAAGGAUUCUGUUAGGUUGGAGUGGUCUUCUAGUAUAGCAGCUUGUAUCAUGAUCAACUCAACAUGUAAUGAACUAAAUGCAUGAUGAUAAUAAUAGGGAAGCUACUGCUAGCACCCUAACAAG